AUGUCAAAUCAUCAUGCCCCUUAUGUCUUGGGCUACACACGUGCUACAAUGGCGCAAACAAAGUGAAGCAAAAUUGUGAAAUGGAGCAAAUCACGAAAAGGCGCCUCAGUUCGGAUUGCAGUCUGCAACUCGACUGCAUGAAGUUGGAAUCGCUAGUAAUCGCGAAUCAGCAUGUCGCGGUGAAUACGUUCCCGGGCCUU
RNAcentral lists this ribosomal RNA (200 nucleotides) under uncultured prokaryote. RNAcentral describes it as "partial 16S ribosomal RNA". It matches the Rfam family "Bacterial small subunit ribosomal RNA", at positions 1182 to 1382 of the family's 1533-position model. The record is from RNAcentral.